RNAcentral lists this ribosomal RNA (261 nucleotides) under uncultured Glomus. Its description in RNAcentral is "partial 18S ribosomal RNA". It matches the Rfam family "Eukaryotic small subunit ribosomal RNA", at positions 624 to 886 of the family's 1831-position model. The record is from RNAcentral. Lineage: Eukaryota; Fungi; Glomeromycota; Glomeromycetes; Glomerales; Glomeraceae.
AAGCUCGUAGUUGAAUUUCGGGGUUAGUAGGUUGGUCAUGCCUCUGGUAUGUACUGGUCUCACUGAUUCCUCCUUCCUUAUGAACCGUAAUGCCAUUAAUUUGGUGUUGCGGGGGAAUUUGGACUGUUAUUUUGAAAAAAUUAGAGUGUUUAAAAGCAAGCUAACGCUUGAAUACAUUAGCAUGGAAUAAUGAAAUAGGACGUUCGAUCUUAUUUUGUUGGUUUCUAGGUAUUGACGUAAUGAUUAAUAGGGAUAGUUGGG